Molecule: long non-coding RNA, 876 nt
Organism: Perca flavescens (yellow perch)
Lineage: Eukaryota; Metazoa; Chordata; Actinopteri; Perciformes; Percidae
Exons: 4
Source: RefSeq, a predicted model, not a curated record
UGGUGGCUCGUCUAAUGUUGACUUUUGCUGUCACUGAGUAACAUUGACCCUCAAUGAGGUGUGUGUGAGGGCUUCCCGUAGUUUGUGACAACUUUGAGGAGCUCAGUGGGGCCGAGAGGUUUUCAUGGUUUUGUUAGCUAGCUCCAUUUUAGCUUUGAGAAUGUGGAGCAGAGAAGUUGAACCUGGAGCUGAUUGAGGUGCACUUCGCGGGGCUCAAAGCUCACAGAAUGGCGUUCAGACAGUGUGCCAGCUGGCAAAGUUACCGAUGAAGCAGAGGAGGAGGAGGCCUGACAGCUCAGCUGAAGUCACCACACUCUCACAUUUAUGUCUGACCUGUAUUGUACUGUCUGGCAGACAGUGUCUCAAUGCAUCUAACAGAAUUUGAAGAAGAGCAUAAGACUAUUUGAAAGAUGUCAAGUGACAGAGGGAACAGUGUCUCACCCUCUCUGGCUCUGCCCUCUUACUGGAUUCUGGCCCCAAAUUUUGGAAGCUGGACUUGCCGUCUUCGGCUGCCCACAAUCCACUCUGUGCUUUCCUGCAGCCAUGCGACAGUCCUUGAUGCUGGGGAUGACUGUCGCCAAAAGACUCAUUUUGAAGGAAUGGAAAUCAUCCUCUCCCCCUUCCUUCCUGAGAUGGAUGGCUGACAUGACUUCAGUCAUACAGAUGGAAAGAUUCAGAUUAUCGAGAACCAACUCAAUUAAAAAAUCUUGCCUAUCUGGAACCCAUUUCUUGCUUACCUAGACGAGACCGGGGGGAGGAUAAGUAACUCACCCAGCUACUUUUUCAUGGCCAUUGCUUGAAAUCUAAUGCAAAGCACUCUCCACUAGAAGCAUUUUACUAUUAUUUAAUUUUAAUUGUAUAUUUUUUUCUUUUCUU